Non-coding RNA from Chrysemys picta bellii (western painted turtle), 1453 nucleotides. The record is from RefSeq and is a predicted model, not a curated record. Lineage: Eukaryota; Metazoa; Chordata; Testudines; Emydidae.
AUACUGAAAAAGCUGUGCCUUGUGUAUGAUGGGAAACCUGAUAAUGUCCUGUUGGCUUCCUCAUACCUCAACUUUCCCCACCUGGAGUCACCACUCCUUACCUGAGUUCAGCUAUUUAAGCAGAGUAGAUGGAACUUAGACGAAUGUAUUUCAAAGGGAAAGAGGCUGCACUGAAUACUGCAUUGAAUUGUUAUGCACCCUACGCUUCGCCUGUCUGAACCAAUCCCAUUACUAUGGCUUCCCUGGGUCAGAUCAUUUUCUGGAGCAUGAUCACCAUCAUCAUAAUCCUGGUAGCAGUGAUUGUGCUGAUCAUCGGCUUUGGUGUUUCAGGGAGACGCUCCAUUAGUGUCACCACACUAACCUCCGCUGGGAAUAUCGGGGAAGAUGGCAUCUUGGGCUGCACUUUUGAACCUGGCAUCAAGCUCAGCAACAUAGAGAUUCGGUGGGCUAAAACUGGGGUCUCUGGGAUGGUGCAUGAGUUUAAAGGUGGCAAGGACCAUCUAAAUGACCAGGAUGAAGUGUUCAAGGGCCGGACAGCGAUAUUCGCAGAGCAGGUGAUUGGUGGGAAUGCCUCCUUGAUGCUGAGAGAUGUGCAGCUCUCCGACGCUGGUGCUUACAGGUGCUCUGUCACUACAUCCAAAGGGAAUGGAGAAGCAGGGCUGGAAUAUAAGACCGGAGCCUUCAGCUCUCCAGAGAUGCAUGUGGAUUACAACAGCAGCAUGGACACCCUGCGGUGUGAGGCUCCCCGGUGGUUCCCUCAACCUGUCGUGAUUUGGACCUCACACAAUAACACAAGGGACAACUUAUCUGAGGUCUCCAACACCAGCUUCAAGCUGAACUCUGAGAAUGUGACUAUGAAUGUGGUAUCUGUUCUGCACAACAUUACAGCUAAUACCACCUAUACUUGUGUAAUCAAGAAUGACAUUGCCAAAGCUACAGGAGACAUCAAAGUGACAGUCUUUUUUCUUCCUUUACAGAUUCCAGCAUCAAGAAGACAGUUCAUUUGCAGCUAUUGCCCAUGAACAUGGCAUCAGCCUCCUUAUCCCCUCUUGCCUUUUACUGGAUACUUCUGCCUCUCCUGUACCUGAUGGCUUUGUAGUGCUUGAUCUCCAUAAAGAAAUGUGAAGAGAAGUUGGAACUGGAGAUGAAGAAUUCCACAAGGAUACCAGGCAAGAUUAAGUGGGAAGGAAGACGUCCUAACCAGAGGAAUGGGAUACAUUUUCUUACUUAGAUAACAUAGUGAUCAAAACUUUGGUAUUAUCUAUCUAUGAAGGCUCUAUCCAUGAUCACACAGCUGGAAAAAGGAUUUGCCACAUUGGAUCAGAUCAUUGUUGCCUUGAGUUCAGCAUAUUAUAAUAUGCAAAUUGUGUAUUUUUUCUUAAAAUGACCUAUAACAUUUGAUUACCCAGGCCUCACUAAUCUAUCAGAAUUCUCUGAAUGUGUCAAUAAAACA